CUGAUGAUUUGGUUACAUUAAAUUUGUGUAAAGAUUUUGGGAUAAGGUAGAAUUUAUAUUUGUGUGUUUAAGCUGUUGUUCUAUUGAUUUAGAGGCCUUAGAUCUUUGGUUGAUAAACUUCCAAAUGCAUUCUCAGAGUUGGAGAGGCCAGCUUCUUUGUGGGUUGAGCGGGCACAAUCUGUUCCAUUACCACCCUUACAAAAUUCUGAGGCUUUGUAUUUCCAGAAGAAGAUUCCAGAAGGUUAUAACUCUACAGUUUUCAUAAUCAAUGCUUCCAUCCCAUACUUUUUGACAGUAUACGGGUGUUCUUUGAUGCUGUUUUGCAACUAUGUGGUGGUAAACCAUUAGAAGGAGUGUUUGUUGGUGCAUUCCUUUCCAUGUCUUCAACCGCUGUUGUGUUGAAGUUUUUGAUGGAAAGAAACAGCAUAAAUGCCCUUCAUGGUCAAGUAACAGUUGGUACCCUUAUUCUGCAGGUACCUAGUUUAUUGGAUUCUCCUGGUGUCUAAGUUGGUGCUGCUGUUAACAUUUCUGACUUGUGUACCCUGGUUCCUCAAGCUGAUGAUAAGCCUGUCAUCACAGACCAAUGAACUAUACCAGUUGGCAUCAGUUGCAUUCUGCCUACUUGUUGCAUGGGUUAGUCUUCUUAUUGCCAUCUCCUAUAAUUAUUUCUUCCU
Long non-coding RNA from Impatiens glandulifera, 674 nucleotides. RefSeq lists it as uncharacterized. Lineage: Eukaryota; Viridiplantae; Streptophyta; Magnoliopsida; Ericales; Balsaminaceae. The transcript has 6 exons. The record is from RefSeq and is a predicted model, not a curated record.